GUAGGUGGCAAGCGUUGUCCGGAAUUAUUGGGCGUAAAGCGCGCGCAGGCGGUUCUUUAAGCCUGAUGUGAAAGCCCACGGCUCAACCGUGGAGGGUCAUUGGAAACUGGAGAACUUGAGUACAGAAGAGGAAAGCGGAAUUCCACGUGUAGCGGUGAAAUGCGUAGAGAUGUGGAGGAACACCAGUGGCGAAGGCGGCUUUCUGGUCUGUAACUGACGCUGAGGCGCGAAAGCGUGGGGGGAGCAAACAGGAUUAGAUACCCUGGUAGUCCACGCCGUAAACGAUGAGUGCUAAGUGUUAGGGGGUUUCCGCCCCUUAGUGCUGCAGCUAACGCAUUAAGCACUCCGCCUGGGAGUACGGCCGCAAGGCUG
Molecule: ribosomal RNA, 372 nt
Filed under: uncultured organism
Description: partial 16S ribosomal RNA
Rfam family: Bacterial small subunit ribosomal RNA
Source: RNAcentral